AACGAACGCUGGCGGCAUGCCUAACACAUGCAAGUCGAACGAUCCCUUCGGGGAUAGUGGCGCACGGGUGCGUAACGCGUGGGAACCUUCCCUUAGGUUCGGAAUAACUCAGAGAAAUUUGAGCUAAUACCGGAUAAUGUCUUCGGACCAAAGAUUUAUCGCCUUUGGAUGGGCCCGCGUUGGAUUAGCUAGUUGGUGGGGUAAAGGCCUACCAAGGCGACGAUCCAUAGCUGGUCUGAGAGGAUGAUCAGCCACACUGGGACUGAGACACGGCCCAGACUCCUACGGGAGGCAGCAGUGGGGAAUAUUGGACAAUGGGCGAAAGCCUGAUCCAGCAAGGCCGCGUGAGUGAUGAAGGCCUUAGGGUUGUAAAGCUCUUUUACCCGGGAUGAUAAUGACAGUACCGGGAGAAUAAGCCCCGGCUAACUCCGUG
This 433-nucleotide ribosomal RNA is filed under the name uncultured bacterium. Its description in RNAcentral is "partial 16S ribosomal RNA". It matches the Rfam family "Bacterial small subunit ribosomal RNA", at positions 29 to 507 of the family's 1533-position model. The record is from RNAcentral.